AUUGAACGCUGGCGGAAUGCUUUACACAUGCAAGUCGAACGGCAGCACGGGGCAACCUGGUGGCGAGUGGCGAACGGGUGAGUAAUAUAUCGGAACGUGCCCAAUCGUGGGGGAUAACGUAGCGAAAGUUACGCUAAUACCGCAUACGAUCUACGGAUGAAAGCGGGGGAUCGCAAGACCUCGCGCGAAUGGAGCGGCCGAUAUCAGAUUAGGUAGUUGGUGGGGUAAAGGCUCACCAAGCCAACGAUCUGUAGCUGGUCUGAGAGGACGACCAGCCACACUGGAACUGAGACACGGUCCAGACUCC
Molecule: ribosomal RNA, 307 nt
Filed under: uncultured bacterium
Lineage: Bacteria
Description: bacterial SSU rRNA
Rfam family: Bacterial small subunit ribosomal RNA
Source: RNAcentral